GGAUCGUGGCUCAGUGGUAGAGAGCUUGCCUUGCAUGUGUGAAGCCCUGGGUUCCAUCCUCAGCACCA
This 68-nucleotide transfer RNA is filed under the name Marmota monax (woodchuck). RNAcentral's name for it is "tRNA.Ala". Lineage: Eukaryota; Metazoa; Chordata; Mammalia; Rodentia; Sciuridae. The record is from RNAcentral.